GAUGAAGAACGCAGCGAAAUGCGAUAAGUAAUGUGAAUUGCAGAAUUCAGUGAAUCAUCGAAUCUUUGAACGCACAUUGCGCCCGCCAGUAUUCUGGCGGGCAUGCCUGUCCGAGCGUCAUUUCAACCAUCAAGCCCCGGGCUUGUGUUGGGGACCUGCGUCCGACGCAGGCCCUGAAAACCAGUGGCGGGCUCGCUGUCCACACCGAGCGUAGUAACUAACCUCGCUAUGGAGUGGCGCGGGCGCCUGCCGUAAAACCCCCAAUUUUUACAAGGUUGACCUCGGAUCAGGUAGGAAUACCCGCUGAACUUAAGCGUAUCAAUAAGCGGAGGA
RNAcentral lists this unclassified non-coding RNA (333 nucleotides) under soil metagenome. Its description in RNAcentral is "partial contains 5.8S ribosomal RNA, internal transcribed spacer 2, and large subunit ribosomal RNA". The stretch from base 1 to 120 matches the Rfam family "5.8S ribosomal RNA", at positions 35 to 154 of the family's 154-position model. The record is from RNAcentral.